AGCAGAGAAGGGAAAUGUUACUUGUUGCUUCCAACCAACUUUAUUUUAACAUUCCAGCCGCGAGGCAUUUCACACCGGACAAACUUCCGGGUUCAAAGGUCAUGCACGUUCAUAUAUAUAUAGCUGUCCAAGGCAAAUGCCUGUAACACUCGGCCCGAGCAACGAAACACAAUAUCGAUUGUGUUCUUACCCGUUUAAUGUGACUUCUGUUUUCGGACAUGACUGGUCAGCUUCUCAACAUCGGGCAUAGCCGCCGGUUUGUUUACAACAGCCACCUGCCUGGCAUCCCGCCCUGCUGAUAGAAACGUGUGUCGCAGGCUAUGACGCAAAUCUUUGUUGACAGAAAUGUUGAAAUAUAAUAUUUACUCUACACAUUUCUACAGCAUUGGAAAACGUUAAGAAUGUUUGUGUCAUGUUUGUCCUCCUACUGAAACCAUA
Doryrhamphus excisus (bluestripe pipefish) is the source of this 438-nucleotide non-coding RNA. Lineage: Eukaryota; Metazoa; Chordata; Actinopteri; Syngnathiformes; Syngnathidae. The record is from RefSeq and is a predicted model, not a curated record.